UAGCUCAUUAUACCAUCUCUUGUUGUUUUACAGAUUUCGAGAACUAGUCUAUUGGGGAUUCAAAAUAGGAGAGCGACUAGAAGGAUUGUGGCACAAGUUAUCUUAGAUUAGGGUUAUUUAAGUUGAUUUGUUAUUAUGGACAUUUAUUAUGAUUGGUGGACUUUUAUUAUUUUAAGAACUAGGUUUCUGCAUGUUGGUAAAUGAUUAUUCCGCUGCGUAUUUAGACUUGUGAGACAUUAUGACUCGAGUUAGUAAAUGGAAUAAGAUUGCAUUUAUUCUGUUAAAUUAUUUUAGAAUUACA
This 301-nucleotide long non-coding RNA is filed under the name Phoenix dactylifera (date palm). RNAcentral's name for it is "long non-coding RNA (PDAC_LNC015416)". Lineage: Eukaryota; Viridiplantae; Streptophyta; Magnoliopsida; Arecales; Arecaceae. The record is from RNAcentral.